RNAcentral lists this ribosomal RNA (685 nucleotides) under Escherichia coli. Its description in RNAcentral is "bacterial SSU rRNA". It matches the Rfam family "Bacterial small subunit ribosomal RNA", at positions 847 to 1532 of the family's 1533-position model. Lineage: Bacteria; Pseudomonadati; Pseudomonadota; Gammaproteobacteria; Enterobacterales; Enterobacteriaceae. The record is from RNAcentral.
CGGAGCUAACGCGUUAAGUCGACCGCCUGGGGAGUACGGCCGCAAGGUUAAAACUCAAAUGAAUUGACGGGGGCCCGCACAAGCGGUGGAGCAUGUGGUUUAAUUCGAUGCAACGCGAAGAACCUUACCUGGUCUUGACAUCCACAGAACUUUCCAGAGAUGGAUUGGUGCCUUCGGGAACUGUGAGACAGGUGCUGCAUGGCUGUCGUCAGCUCGUGUUGUGAAAUGUUGGGUUAAGUCCCGCAACGAGCGCAACCCUUAUCCUUUGUUGCCAGCGGUCCGGCCGGGAACUCAAAGGAGACUGCCAGUGAUAAACUGGAGGAAGGUGGGGAUGACGUCAAGUCAUCAUGGCCCUUACGACCAGGGCUACACACGUGCUACAAUGGCGCAUACAAAGAGAAGCGACCUCGCGAGAGCAAGCGGACCUCAUAAAGUGCGUCGUAGUCCGGAUUGGAGUCUGCAACUCGACUCCAUGAAGUCGGAAUCGCUAGUAAUCGUGGAUCAGAAUGCCACGGUGAAUACGUUCCCGGGCCUUGUACACACCGCCCGUCACACCAUGGGAGUGGGUUGCAAAAGAAGUAGGUAGCUUAACCUUCGGGAGGGCGCUUACCACUUUGUGAUUCAUGACUGGGGUGAAGUCGUAACAAGGUAACCGUAGGGGAACCUGCGGUUGGAUCACCUCCUU